UAUGCACGCUCUUAAGGCUGUGCAACUGGGCAAUUAGUUGAAAAGUGAAUGUUAAAAAAAAUAGCAGUGUGGCAUUCAAUCACUGAAGUCAUCAAUUUUGUGAAAAAAACAGGUGCUAAUCAGGUGGCCCCUAUUUAAGGAUGAAGCCAGCACAUGUUGAAUAUGCAUUUGAAAGCCUGAGGAAAAUGGGUCGUUCAAGACUUGAUUAGAGAGGGGAAAACCUAUAUAGAGGUGCAAAAUAUUAUAGGCUGUUCAGCUAAAAUGAUCUCCAGUGCCUUAAAAUGGAGAGCAAAACCAGAGAGAUGUGGAAGAAAACUGAAGACAACCAUCAAAAUGGAUCGAAGAAUAACCAGAAUGGCAAAGGCUCAGCCAAUGAUCAGCUCAGGAUGAUCAAAGACAGCCUGGAGUUACCUGUAAGUACUGUGACAGUUAGAAGACGUCUAUGUGAAGCUAAUCUAUUUUCAAGAAUCCCCCGCAAAGUGCCUCUGUUAAAAAAAAGGCAUGUGCAGAAGAGGUUACAAUUUGCCAAAGAA
Long non-coding RNA from Carassius carassius (crucian carp), 533 nucleotides. RefSeq lists it as uncharacterized. Lineage: Eukaryota; Metazoa; Chordata; Actinopteri; Cypriniformes; Cyprinidae. The transcript is spliced from 2 exons. The record is from RefSeq and is a predicted model, not a curated record.